UUGCUCAUAGCAAGAAACAUAGUUCUAUUAGAAUGUCUUCAGGAUGAGAAUAAAGCUCUCGCUUUUAUCAAUCAAUCCAAGGGCAAGUUCUAGGUAGCUAAUCUAGACACAGCAUUAAUGAACAAUCCUAAAAAUGAUUAUCACAACUCAGCAACUAUAGUUGGGGCUAAUCCCUCCUAACCUAUUUAAACCCUAAAAUCUAAAAAUGGAACUACUCAGACAUG
RNAcentral lists this long non-coding RNA (224 nucleotides) under Brassica napus (rape). Its description in RNAcentral is "long non-coding RNA (BNAP_LNC012040)". The record is from RNAcentral. Lineage: Eukaryota; Viridiplantae; Streptophyta; Magnoliopsida; Brassicales; Brassicaceae.